GGCCAGACACCCUCCGAAUAUGCCAGGAUUACGAGGUCUGCGAGCAAGCGUAGCGUGCAGCAUCGUGGAGAUGGACUACCUGCCGAAGAAGCAGGGGGCCGGGCUUGGAAUGAGGAGGCAUUGAAUGAGCUUGUGGCGAAGAGUGAGUGGGAGGAAUAUGACGAUGUCAAGUCGCUGACGGGUGAGGAGAAGGAGUUGGGGAAUAGGGCAAUGAUCAAGCUUGAUGAGUUUGCGGAUAGAGAAUGGCCUAGAAACGCGAGCCCGAUGACGGCGCACGGAACCUCGCCGGCUGAUAGUAGUGUUCCACCGCGCGGCUCAUCUAGACAGGCGCAAGAACCUCCUCUCGGACAGACGGGGCAAUCCUCAGUGGGACAACAUGAUCCAAAUCGCCAGGGCUCCGACCCAUUGUCCAGAAACCCUGGCAAGGCGCCAAAUAACAGUCAACAGGA
RNAcentral lists this small RNA (449 nucleotides) under Histoplasma ohiense. Its description in RNAcentral is "hypothetical lncRNA". Lineage: Eukaryota; Fungi; Ascomycota; Eurotiomycetes; Onygenales; Ajellomycetaceae. The record is from RNAcentral.